Molecule: ribosomal RNA, 703 nt
Filed under: uncultured archaeon
Lineage: Archaea
Description: bacterial SSU rRNA
Rfam family: Archaeal small subunit ribosomal RNA
Source: RNAcentral
ACUAACCUACCCUCGGGAGGGGGACAACCCCGGGAAACUGGGGCCAAUCCCCCAUAGGAGAAGGGUGCUGGAAAGCCCCUUCUCCGAAAGGGACUGCGGCCGAUCCGCCGCAGUCUGCCCGAGGAUGGGGGCACGGCCCAUCAUGGUAGUUGGCGGGGUAAUGGCCCGCCAAGCCGAAGACGGGUGGGGGCCGUGAGAGCGGGAGCCCCGAGAUGGGCACUGAGACAAGGGCCCAGGCCCUACGGGGUGCAGCAGGCGCGAAAACUCCGCAAUGCGGGAAACCGUGACGGGGCCACCCCGAGUGCCGCCCGAAGAGGGCGGCUUUUGCCCGGUGCAAAAAGCCGGGCGAAUAAGCGGGGGGCAAGUCUGGUGUCAGCCGCCGCGGUAAUACCAGCUCCGCGAGUGGUCGGGGUGCUUACUGGGCCUAAAGCGCCCGUAGCCGGCCCGGUAAGUCGUCCCUGAAAUCCACGGGCUCAACCCGUGGGCUGGGGACGAUACUGCCGGGCUUGGGGGCCGGGAGAGGCCGAGGGUACUCCCGGGGUAGGGGCGAAAUCCGAUAAUCCCGGGAGGACCACCAGUGGCGAACGCGCUCGGCUGGAACGCGCCCGACUGUUGAGGGGCGAAAAGCUUGGGGAACCAAAGGGGAUUAAAUACCCCUGUAGUCCAGCUGUAAACGAUGCGGGCUAGCCUGUUGGGCUUGCCU